RNAcentral lists this unclassified non-coding RNA (90 nucleotides) under Pseudomonas koreensis. Lineage: Bacteria; Pseudomonadati; Pseudomonadota; Gammaproteobacteria; Pseudomonadales; Pseudomonadaceae. The record is from RNAcentral.
UGUAGGAGUGAGCCUGCUCGCGAUAGCGGUGUGUCAGGCAACGGCUUUGUUGACUGACACACCGCUAUCGCGAGCAGGCUCACUCCUACA